GAUGAACGCUGGCGGCGUGCUUAACACAUGCAAGUCGAACGACGGCGCCCCGCUUGCUGUGUGGUUUCGUGCCGAACGGGUGAGUAACACGUGAGUAACCUGCCCUUAACCCUGAGUUAAGCCUGGGACACUGGGUCUAAUACCGGUUACCAGCGUCCACCGCAUGGGGGGUGUUUGUAUGAUUUAUCGGUGUUGGAUGGACUCGCGGCCUAUCACCUUGUUGGUGAGGUAUUGGAUCACCAAGGCGACGACGAGUAGCCGGGGUGAGAGGGUGACCGGCCAACCUGGGACUGAGACACGGCACAGACUCCUACGGGAGGCAGGAGUGGGGAAUAAUGCACAACGGGGGCAAGCCGGAUGCAGCAUGGCCGCGUGAGGGAUGACGGCCUUCGGGUUGUAAACCUCUUUCAGUAGGGAAGAAGCGAAAGUGACGGUACCUGAGGAAGAAGCACCGGCUAACUACGUG
This 466-nucleotide ribosomal RNA is filed under the name uncultured bacterium. RNAcentral describes it as "partial 16S ribosomal RNA". It matches the Rfam family "Bacterial small subunit ribosomal RNA", at positions 28 to 507 of the family's 1533-position model. The record is from RNAcentral.